Non-coding RNA from Karstenula rhodostoma CBS 690.94, 91 nucleotides. NCBI's taxonomy places the organism in Eukaryota, Fungi, Ascomycota, Dothideomycetes, Pleosporales, Didymosphaeriaceae. The record is from the annotation of a GenBank genome assembly.
GCCCUGCUGGCGCAAUGGUAGCGCGUGGCCCUCCUACAGCGUUGCAAAACGCGUCAGGCCAAGGUUGCAGGUUCGAGUCCUGCGUAGGGCU